Molecule: ribosomal RNA, 492 nt
Filed under: uncultured bacterium
Lineage: Bacteria
Description: partial 16S ribosomal RNA
Rfam family: Bacterial small subunit ribosomal RNA
Source: RNAcentral
AGUGAACGCUGGCGGUAGGCCUAACACAUGCAAGUCGAACGGCAGCACAGUAAGAGCUUGCUCUUACGGGUGGCGAGUGGCGGACGGGUGAGGAAUACAUCGGAAUCUACUUUUUCGUGGGGGAUAACGUAGGGAAACUUACGCUAAUACCGCAUACGACCUACGGGUGAAAGCAGGGGAUCUUCGGACCUUGCGCGAUUGAAUGAGCCGAUGUCGGAUUAGCUAGUUGGCGGGGUAAAGGCCCACCAAGGCGACGAUCCGUAGCUGGUCUGAGAGGAUGAACAGCCACAACGGAACUGGGACAAGGGCCAGACUCCUAAGGGAGGCAGCAGUGGGGAAAAUUGGACAAAGGGGGGAAGCCUGAACCAGGCAAACCGGGUGGGGGAAGAAGGCCUUCGGGGUGGAAAGCCCUUUUGUUGGGAAAGAAAAGCAGCAGGUUAAAAACCCGCUGGUCUGACGGUACCCAAAGAAUAAGGAACGGCUAAAUUCGUG